Molecule: ribosomal RNA, 500 nt
Filed under: uncultured bacterium
Lineage: Bacteria
Description: partial 16S ribosomal RNA
Rfam family: Bacterial small subunit ribosomal RNA
Source: RNAcentral
AUUGAACGCUGGCGGAAUGCUUUACACAUGCAAGUCGAACGGCAGCACGGACUUCGGUCUGGUGGCGAGUGGCGAACGGGUGAGUAAUAUAUCGGAACGUAUCCAAUAAUGGGGGAUAACUAAUCGAAAGGUUGGCUAAUACCGCAUACGUCCUACGGGAGAAAGCUAGGGACCUUCGGGCCUGGCGUUAAUGGAGCGGCCGAUAUCGGAUUAGCUAGUUGGUGAGGUAAAGGCUCACCAAGGCGACGAUCCGUAGCUGGUCUGAGAGGACGACCAGCCACACUGGAACUGAGACACGGUCCAGACUCCCACGGGAGGCAGCAGUGGGGAAUUUUAGACAAUGGGCGAAAGCCUGAUCCAGCCAUUCCGCGUGAGUGAAGAAGGCCUUCGGGUUGUAAAGCUCUUUCGCAAGAGAAGAAAACUUACCCUCUAACAUAGGGUGAGGUUGACGGUAUCUUGAUAAGAAGCACCGGCUAACUACGUGCCAGCCGCCGCCGUAA